RNAcentral lists this ribosomal RNA (434 nucleotides) under uncultured bacterium. RNAcentral describes it as "bacterial SSU rRNA". It matches the Rfam family "Bacterial small subunit ribosomal RNA", at positions 355 to 786 of the family's 1533-position model. The record is from RNAcentral.
UGAGGAAUAUUGGUCAAUGGGCGGGAGCCUGAACCAGCCAAGCCGCGUGAGGGAAGAAGGCCCUAUGGGUCGUAAACCUCUUUUGUCAGGGAACAAAAGCGAGUAUGUAUACUGGUCUGAGUGUACCUGAAGAAAAAGCAUCGGCUAACUCCGUGCCAGCAGCCGCGGUAAUACGGAGGAUGCGAGCGUUAUCCGGAUUUAUUGGGUUUAAAGGGUGCGUAGGCGGCGGUGCAAGUCAGCGGUAAAAGCCCGGGGGCUCAACCCCGGCGAGCCGUUGAAACUGCAGUGCUAGAGAAGGCGAGAGGUACGCGGAAUGCGCAGUGUAGCGGUGAAAUGCCUAGAUAUUGCGCAGAACUCCGAUUGCGAAGGCAGCGUACUGGCGCCUGACUGACGCUGAGGCACGAAAGCGUGGGGAUCGAACAGGAUUAGAUACC